AUUGAACGCUGGCGGCAUGCCUUACACAUGCAAGUCGAACGGCAGCGGGCCCUUCGGGGUGCCGGCGAGUGGCGAACGGGUGAGUAAUGCAUCGGAACGUACCCGGGAGAGGGGGAUAACCGGCCGAAAGGCUGGCUAAUACCGCAUGAACUCGGAAGAGCAAAGCGGGGGACCUUCGGGCCUCGCGCUCUCGGGGCGGCCGACGUCCGAUUAGGCUAGUUGGUGGGGUAAAGGCCCACCAAGGCGACGAUCGGUAGCGGGUCUGAGAGGAGGAUCCGCCACACUGGGACUGAGACACGGCCCAGAGUCCUACGGGAGGCAGCAGUGGGGAAUCUUGGACAAUGGGCGCAAGCCUGAUCCAGCAAUGCCGCGUGGGUGAAGAAGGCCUUCGGGUUGUAAAGCCCUUUCGGCGGGGAAGAAAUCGGUCAGGCGAAUAGUCUGGCCGGAUGACGGUACCCGCAGAAGAAGCACCGGCUAACUACGUG
This 485-nucleotide ribosomal RNA is filed under the name uncultured bacterium. RNAcentral describes it as "partial 16S ribosomal RNA". It matches the Rfam family "Bacterial small subunit ribosomal RNA", at positions 28 to 507 of the family's 1533-position model. The record is from RNAcentral.